UGGGGGAUAUUGCGCAAUGGGGGAAACCCUGACGCAGCAACGCCGCGUGAAGGAAGAAGGUCUUCGGAUUGUAAACUUCUUUUGUCAGGGACGAAGAAAGUGACGGUACCUGACGAAUAAGCUCCGGCUAACUACGUGCCAGCAGCCGCGGUAAUACGUAGGGAGCGAGCGUUGUCCGGAUUUACUGGGUGUAAAGGGUGCGUAGGCGGCCGAGCAAGUCAGUUGUGAAAACUAUGGGCUUAACCCAUAACGUGCAAUUGAAACUGUCCGGCUUGAGUGAAGUAGAGGUAGGCGGAAUUCCCGGUGUAGCGGUGAAAUGCGUAGAGAUCGGGAGGAACACCAGUGGCGAAGGCGGCCUACUGGGCUUUAACUGACGCUGAGGCACGAAAGCAUGGGUAGCAAACAGG
Molecule: ribosomal RNA, 407 nt
Filed under: uncultured bacterium
Lineage: Bacteria
Description: bacterial SSU rRNA
Rfam family: Bacterial small subunit ribosomal RNA
Source: RNAcentral